This 488-nucleotide ribosomal RNA is filed under the name uncultured bacterium. RNAcentral's name for it is "partial 16S ribosomal RNA". It matches the Rfam family "Bacterial small subunit ribosomal RNA", at positions 28 to 507 of the family's 1533-position model. The record is from RNAcentral.
GACGAACGCUGGCGGCGUGCUUAACACAUGCAAGUCGAACGGAGAGGCCCUGCUUUUGUGGGGUGCUCGAGUGGCGAACGGGUGAGUAACACGUGAGUAACCUGCCCUUGACUUUGGGAUAACUUCAGGAAACUGGGGCUAAUACCGGAGAGGAGCUCCUGCUGCAUGGUGGGGGUUGGAAAGUUUCGGCGGUUGGGGAUGGACUCGCGGUUUAUGAGCUUGUUGGGAGGGUUGUGGCUUACCAAGGCUUUGACGGGUAGCCGGCCUGAGCGGGGGACCGGCGGCCUGAGAAGGUAGACGCGCACCUGGGGACUAAGAUAGGCACCAGAAUCGUACGGGAGGCAGCGGUGGGGAAUAUGGCACAGUGGGGGGAAGCGAGAUGUAGCGACGCUCCGUGCGGGAUGACGGCUUACGGGUUGUAAACCGCUUUCGAAGGUGACGAAGAGUGCGUGACGGUAAUGGGUAAGGAAGCCCCGGCUAACUACGUG